This 252-nucleotide ribosomal RNA is filed under the name uncultured bacterium. Its description in RNAcentral is "partial 16S ribosomal RNA". It matches the Rfam family "Bacterial small subunit ribosomal RNA", at positions 525 to 776 of the family's 1533-position model. The record is from RNAcentral.
ACGUAGGACACAAGCGUUAUCCGGAGUUACUGGGCGUAAAGGGCGUGCAGGCGGUUUCUUAAGUCAGGCGUGAAACCACCCGGCUAAACCGGGUGUAGUCGUCUGAGACUGGGAGACUAGAGUGUGGUAGAGGCGUGUAGAAUUCCGGGUGUAGUGGUGAAAUGCGUAGAUAUCCGGAGGAAUACCAGUGGCGAAGGCGGCACGCUGGGCCAUAACUGACGCUAAGACGCGAAAGCAUGGGUAGCGAACGGA